CCCUUAGAUGUUCUGGGCUGCACGCGCGCUACACUGAAGCGUUCAACGAGUAUUCACCUUGCCCGGGAGGGUUGGGUAAUCUUUUGAAAACGCUUCGUGAUGGGGAUAGAUUAUUGCAAUUAUUAAUCUUCAACGAGGAAUUCCUAGUAAGCGCGAGUCAUCAGCUCGUGCUGAUUACGUCCCUGCCCUUUGUACACACCGCCCGUCGCUCCUACCGAUUGAAUGGUCCGGCGAGGUUCUCGGAUUUUUUCUGUUGUUUGGUUCGCUAAACGAUUGAAGAGAGAAGUUACCCAAACCUUACCAUUUAGAGGAAGGAGAAGUCGUAACA
RNAcentral lists this ribosomal RNA (328 nucleotides) under uncultured eukaryote. Its description in RNAcentral is "partial 18S ribosomal RNA". It matches the Rfam family "Eukaryotic small subunit ribosomal RNA", at positions 1470 to 1796 of the family's 1831-position model. The record is from RNAcentral.